GACGAACGCUGGCGGCGGGCUUAACACAUGCAAGUCGAACGGAAAGGCCCUGCUUUUGUGGGGUGCUCGAGUGGCGAACGGGUGAGUAACACGUGAGUAACCUGCCCUUGACUUUGGGGUAACUUCAGGAAACUGGGGCUAAUACCGGAUAGGAGCUCCUGCUGCAUGGUGGGGGUUGGAAAGUUUCGGCGGGUGGGGAUGGACUCGCGGCUUAGCAGCUUGUUGGUGGGGUAGUGGCUUACCAAGGCUUUGACGGGUAGCCGGCCUGGGAGGGUGACCGGCCACAUUGGGACUGAGAUACGGCCCAGACUCCUACGGGAGGCAGCAGUCGGGAAUAUUGCACAAUGGGCGGAAGCCUGAUGCAGCAACGCCGCGUGCGGGAUGACGGCCUUCGGGUUGUAAACCGCUUUCGCCUGUGACGAAGCGUGAGUGACGGUAAUGGGUAAAGAAGCACCGGCUAACUACGUG
This 468-nucleotide ribosomal RNA is filed under the name uncultured bacterium. Its description in RNAcentral is "partial 16S ribosomal RNA". It matches the Rfam family "Bacterial small subunit ribosomal RNA", at positions 28 to 507 of the family's 1533-position model. The record is from RNAcentral.